ACGGAAGGCAGCAGUGGGGGAUAUUGCACAAUGGGGGAAACCCUGAUGCAGCAACGCCGCGUGAAGGAAGAAGGUCUUCGGAUUGUAAACUUUUGUCCUCAGUGAAGAUAAUGACGGUAGCUGAGGAGGAAGCUCCGGCUAACUACGUGCCAGCAGCCGCGGUAAUACGUAGGGAGCGAGCGUUGUCCGGAUUUACUGGGCGUAAAGGGUGCGUAGGCGGACUGGCAAGUCAGUGGUGAAAACUAUGGGCUUAACCCAUAGACUGCCAUUGAAACUGUUGGUCUUGAGUGAAGUAGAGGCAGGCGGAAUUCCCGGUGUAGCGGUGAAAUGCGUAGAGAUCGGGAGGAACACCAGUGGCGAAGGCGGCCUGCUGGGCUUUAACUGACGCUGAGGCACGAAAGUGUGGGUAGCAAACAGGAUUAGAUACCCUGGUA
Molecule: ribosomal RNA, 434 nt
Filed under: uncultured Oscillospiraceae bacterium
Lineage: Bacteria; Bacillati; Bacillota; Clostridia; Eubacteriales; Oscillospiraceae
Description: bacterial SSU rRNA
Rfam family: Bacterial small subunit ribosomal RNA
Source: RNAcentral